RNAcentral lists this ribosomal RNA (253 nucleotides) under uncultured bacterium. Its description in RNAcentral is "partial 16S ribosomal RNA". It matches the Rfam family "Bacterial small subunit ribosomal RNA", at positions 524 to 776 of the family's 1533-position model. The record is from RNAcentral.
UACGUAGGGUGCAAGCGUUAAUCGGAAUUACUGGGCGUAAAGCGUGCGCAGGCGGUUGUGCAAGACCGAUGUGAAAUCCCCGAGCUUAACCUGGGAAUGGCAUUGGUGACUGUACGGCUAGAGUGUGUCAGAGGGGGGUAGAAUUCCACGUGUAGCAGUGAAAUGCGUAGAGAUGUGGAGGAAUACCGAUGGCGAAGGCAGCCCCCUGGGAUAACACUGACGCUCAUGCACGAAAGCGUGGGGAGCAAACAGG